Molecule: non-coding RNA, 143 nt
Organism: Salvelinus sp. IW2-2015
Lineage: Eukaryota; Metazoa; Chordata; Actinopteri; Salmoniformes; Salmonidae
Source: RefSeq, a predicted model, not a curated record
GGGAACACCUGGUCCUUGCUGGGGCAGAGGUGGCUGGGUGGUAGGAGGUUGGUUAGGGUUAGGGUUAGGGUUAAUGCUUGGGAGGGAUAGGUUUGGGAACACCUGGUCCUUGCUGGGGCAGAGGUGGCUGGGUGGCAGGAGGU